AGUGGCGACCGGGUGAGUAAACGGGACUAACCUACUUCGAGUGGGGGAUAACCUCGGGAAACCGGGGCUAAUACCGCAUAAUGCCUACGGGUUAAAGGAGCAAUUCGCUUGAAGAGGGGGUCGCGGCUGAUUACCUAGUUGGUGGGGUAACGGCCCACCAAGGCGAUGAUCGGUAGCCGGCCUGAGAGGGCGCACGGCCACACUGGAACUGAAACACGGUCCAAACUCCUACGGGAGGCAGCAGUGGGGAAUUUUGCGCAAUGGGGGAAACCCUGACGCAGCAACGCCGCGUGGAGGAUGAAGUCCCUUGGGACGUAAACUCCUUUCGACCGGGACGAUAAUGACGGUACCGGUGGAAGAAGCCCCGGCUAACUUCAUGCCAGCAGCCGCGGUAAUACGAGGGGGGCGAGCGUUGUUCGGAAUUGUUUGGCGUAAAGGGCGCGUAGGCGGUGCGGUAAGUCACCUGUGAAACCUCUGGGCUCAACUCAAAGCCUGCAGGCGA
This 502-nucleotide ribosomal RNA is filed under the name uncultured bacterium. RNAcentral's name for it is "bacterial SSU rRNA". It matches the Rfam family "Bacterial small subunit ribosomal RNA", at positions 94 to 630 of the family's 1533-position model. The record is from RNAcentral.